Molecule: non-coding RNA, 30 nt
Filed under: Mus musculus (house mouse)
Lineage: Eukaryota; Metazoa; Chordata; Mammalia; Rodentia; Muridae
Source: RNAcentral
UACACACUGAUGCAGUGGCUGUGUCGCCUA